AUCGACAGCACCUUGGCGAUGUAAGGGAUCAGUGGAAGAUUGAGGACCAAAAGCACGAGGUUGCCGAUGAACAUCGACAUAAUAACGGCCCAAAAAAUCUGGGGUUCAUCGAUCAUCAGCCUUGGCCC
RNAcentral lists this non-coding RNA (128 nucleotides) under Shimia gijangensis. RNAcentral describes it as "Pseudopelagicola gijangensis Ruegeria cis8 sRNA". It matches the Rfam family "Ruegeria cis8 sRNA". Rfam says of the family: Cis-encoded. Targets hypothetical protein. Higher sRNA expression during C-limited growth. The record is from Rfam by way of RNAcentral. Lineage: Bacteria; Pseudomonadati; Pseudomonadota; Alphaproteobacteria; Rhodobacterales; Roseobacteraceae.